Molecule: ribosomal RNA, 360 nt
Filed under: uncultured bacterium
Lineage: Bacteria
Description: partial 16S ribosomal RNA
Rfam family: Bacterial small subunit ribosomal RNA
Source: RNAcentral
UCUACGGGAGGCAGCAGUGGGGAAUAUUGCGCAAUGGGCGAAAGCCUGACGCAGCGACGCCGCAUGAGGGAUGAAGGUCUUCGGAUCGUAAACCUCUGUCAGCAGGGAAGAACGGUCACUGUGCUAAUCAGCAGUGAAUUGACGGUACCUGCAAAGGAAGCACCGGCUAACUCCGUGCCAGCAGCCGCGGUAAUACGGAGGGGUGGAGCGUUAAUCGGAAUUACUGGGCGUAAAGCGCUCGUAGGCGGUAGGUCAAGUCAAGGGUGAAAGCCCCGCGUUCAAAGUGGGAACUGCCUUGGAACUUGGCAAACUGGAGUGUGUGAGCGGAUGGUGGAAUUCCAGGUGUAGGAGUGAAAUCCG